Long non-coding RNA from Vespula vulgaris, 1135 nucleotides. RefSeq lists it as uncharacterized. The transcript is spliced from 3 exons. The record is from RefSeq and is a predicted model, not a curated record. Lineage: Eukaryota; Metazoa; Arthropoda; Insecta; Hymenoptera; Vespidae.
UUCGUCUCUUUAUAUUGUGUAAUACGUGGUAUAGAUUAACCUGUGUAGAUUGUCUUAGCUCUUUCCAAGGAGCUUCGUCCCGGUAAUCAGGUGGUUCUUCCAACCUGACGAUUUGGGGAAAAAUGUCGCUUGUAGAAGUCACUCUUUCAACUAUUUUUUUUUGUAAUACGCAAGUAAGCGCUGAAUAAUGUUCCAAGCAGUACAAACGUUACAAACAAUCUCUUUCUCUCGCCAGUCUUUUGUUUAUGCUAUCCACGUGAGGUACAUUUAUCAGUAGUCAUUAGUAUAUAAAUUAUUAUAAAAUUUCAAUUCUUUAUUAUGAAAAUGAAUCCGAUUUUCAUGAUCGAUACCAUCCUAAUUAUUACUUUGUUGCUUCUAGGAGAAGGUACUUUAUGUCGGUUAGAAGGGCGUAACCAUUCGUUGACUUUAGAAUUUAAAGGAACAAUUGAACGUCUAUCGGAAGUCUUAACUAAUCUAUGAAUUUUCAAUUAUUUCAGCGAUAGAAAAGAUUAGACUAGAAAGCAGUUCCAAUAUCCUAGAAGUAUACAGGAAGAGCAGAAUUAGGGAUUAGGAAUCGAUAUCUGAGUUCUAAUCACUUGCAAAGAGGAUACGCAUUUCAACUACACUUAACAUGAUAAUUAUAUAUCCGAAGUGAAACAUAAUUACAUUGGCACUUCCUGUUCUUCGUACAAAACAUUGGAUUGUGAAAACAGAAGAGUGGUUCAAGAAGCAGUUGGAAAAUCUAACAAAAGAAUGAGCAUUGUUAGCGACUGCUCGUAGAUUAAAUGCUCUUAAAUCUUCCGAUGUUGAUGUUCUGCAACGUGAUGUUGCUAUAAAGAUGAGAUUAUAAUUUCGCUAAAUAGAUAUAUGUCCGUCGAAGAACUUUAAAUGGAAACAAAAGAGGCCGAUUUCUUUUUACAAAUUAAUUUCUUCAAAGAAAAGGUACUUCAAAGUACAUUUUUUGUGAAGUUGAAUUCAUCGUAAUAUAUCGAAGUAGUAAAGAACAUUUUCUUAUUAAAUAAAGUACAUAGCAAUAUAUACUCCUUAAAUAAGGAUUAUAUGGAAGAUCAUUUCGGUUAACUGUAAUACUACAUUUGUCUACAAAUGCUACGUUUGCUUAAUGUAUAGCUCAUCU